AGAGUUUGAUCGUGGCUCAGAAUCAACGCUGGCGGCGUGCCUAACACAUGCAAGUCGAACGCGGUUUUCCCGCAAGGGAAAACUGAGUGGCGAACGGGUGAGUAACACGUGGGUGACCUACCUUCGAGUGGGGGAUAACGUCCCGAAAGGGACGCUAAUACCGCAUAACAUCCUGCUCUUGAACGAGCGGAGAUCAAAGCCGGGGAUCGCAAGACCUGGCGCUUGAUGAGGGGCCCGCGUCCGAUUAGCUAGUUGGUGAGGUAAUGGCUCACCAAGGCAACGAUCGGUAGCCGGCCUGAGAGGGCGGACGGCCACACUGGGACUGAGACACGGCCCAGACUCCUACGGGAGGCAGCAGUGGGGAAUUGUUCGCAAUGGGCGCAAGCCUGACGACGCAACGCCGCGUGGAGGAUGAAGGUCUUCGGAUUGUAAACUCCUGUUGCCAGGGACGAAUGGCCACGACCUAACACGUCGUGGUGUGACGGUACCUGGUGAGGAAGCCCCGGCUAACUCUGUGCCAGCCGCCGCCGU
This 531-nucleotide ribosomal RNA is filed under the name uncultured Acidobacteriota bacterium. Its description in RNAcentral is "bacterial SSU rRNA". It matches the Rfam family "Bacterial small subunit ribosomal RNA", at positions 8 to 521 of the family's 1533-position model. The record is from RNAcentral. Lineage: Bacteria; Pseudomonadati; Acidobacteriota.